CAGACCUCUAAUCGGAAAAGACUACC
Molecule: ribosomal RNA, 26 nt
Filed under: Hamatocaulis vernicosus
Lineage: Eukaryota; Viridiplantae; Streptophyta; Bryopsida; Hypnales; Calliergonaceae
Also listed under: 5 other names
Description: partial 25S ribosomal RNA
Source: RNAcentral